UGCUAGUUCAAAUGUGGAAGCAACACCAUCAAACAGUCGCACCUAGCAGCAAAUCAUUCAGAGUGGCAAGCUGGUUCGUCGCAAAAAGCUCCAAUCUCUAUUUGUCGGGAAGAGCAAGCAUUUCCAGAAACGAAAAACCACCGGAGGAGAGAUCGAUGUUGAUUAUGUUGCUGUUCUGUAACAUCCAGCCAACUCAAAACAACUAUAACCGAAGUGGCAGCGGCGAUUCAAGUAAGCAACAGCAAGCAACUUCUCGACUCGUCGGAUGCCUUAAAGUAACCGGUUCACCUUCAAGCUACCUACCUUGCCGACUUGCUUCAAUUGUGAGAUAAUUUUCUUGGAAAUAUUACCGCAAGUACCUAUUCGAUGAAAAUGCCGAACGGAAAUAUCUCCCUAAAUUUGCGGCGUUCUUAGGACGAUUUCGACUGCGAGGCGUUGCAUAGAAGUGAGAUUUUUUCGAGAUGGAAUGGACGCAGAAAGAAAGGAAAGCAGCAUGCAUGGAACAGGAAGAGCAAAUUCAAAAGAAACGAAACGAAAUAAACACAGUUUUACACGGAGCAGAUUCCGGCGCAAGUAGCCACGAAGCCUCCAGGUCAAACAGCUGGGACCAAUGCUAAAUCAGAAUGCUUGCAGGGUAGAUAUUCACCAAUUAAGGGGGCGGCCAUUAUUAACCGAAUGACGGCUCCACUCAAGACAAUUUAGGUGAUUUCGAAUGAUAUGUCGAGUACAUCAUAAUGCGUUCUGUGUGAUUAA
This is a long non-coding RNA of Uranotaenia lowii, 753 nucleotides long. RefSeq lists it as uncharacterized. Lineage: Eukaryota; Metazoa; Arthropoda; Insecta; Diptera; Culicidae. The record is from RefSeq and is a predicted model, not a curated record. The transcript is spliced from 3 exons.